Molecule: long non-coding RNA, 1446 nt
Organism: Anastrepha ludens (Mexican fruit fly)
Lineage: Eukaryota; Metazoa; Arthropoda; Insecta; Diptera; Tephritidae
Exons: 3
Source: RefSeq, a predicted model, not a curated record
CCUCACUUUCUUCCAGGUUAAACUUUCAGAGGUGGUCUCUACGGUUAUGGUUAUGACAACUGAAUUAUGACAUGUCACCUCUAAUGGAUUAUAGUGUUGCCCAUGUCGUGGUUCGAUCAGCAAAUUUAUGGCGUUAUGGUAGCGGCACCUCUACUUUGGCCUGAAGUUGGCUGUGGUCAAACUAAGUGCGUUCAUAAAAAAGUGUAUUUUAAUAUGUGACAGGUGUUGUCUGGCGUCAAAGUGGUAUUACUAUAAUUUUGAUAGACUGCAUAUUUUCGUCAGCUGUUUUUUUGUUUACAAAUGGCGAUUGCAAAGCGUCGUGAUCACUUAUGGAAGUUUUGAUUUCGAAUUCAUAGUAAUUAUAACCAAUCAAUGCAAUUAGCUCAUUUUAACUGUAACCACAAAUGUUGAUAUUGUAGUGAUAUAUGCCUGUACAUAUGAAUAUCUCUUAACAUAUUGGACACUCGAUGUUUAUGUGUUUUCCUCCCACUUUGUUAUUGAAUGAAUUAAAAUGCAGAUAUUUUGUAUGGAUAUAGAGAAGGAGUUAAAUGGAAUCGCAAGGGAAUUGAUCAAGUUACAUUAACACGUGAAAAAUGACGAAACAUUUAUCAAAUUCAUGAAAGAUAUGUUCAAUUUCGAUUGUGCAUCAGACGUUAAUAAGUCAACAACACUAAGAGACAACAUCAUCGAUUUGCCUUUUUCAAGACACUUUACACUCGAAACACUCCCUUUCAUUUCCUACUUUUUCUAUCAUCGUCCUAUUCUCAACAGAGAAAUGGUUCAUUACCAUGCCCACGGGAAGAAGGCAUAUGCAAAUACAAAUAUGUGAAUUUAUAUACAAAUGCGCAUAUACAUACAUACAUAUGCUCACUCAAGUAGGUGUGCAGAUGUCGAACGUUGCCGAAUGCGGGGGCCGAUUGUGCAAGGUAACGACGCACGAGCAAGAUAACGACGAAUGAGCAAGAUAACGGCGAUUGAGCAAGAUAACGACGAUUGAGCAAGAUAACGACACAUUUUUUCGUACGUGCAGCCGGCUAAAUCGAAUUAUAAGACGUUAUCACGGCAAAAUCUUAAAUAUCCUAACUGUUACCGAACUGUUCAGCAACUUUUAUAAACCCUUUUGCGUUUUUGGCCGAGCUCCUCCUCUUAUUUGUGAUGAGUGUCUUGGUGUUGCUCCGCCCAUGGAGGGACCUACAGUAUUAAGCCAACUCCGAACGACAGAUAUUUUUGAUGAGGAGCUUUUUCAUGACAGAAAUACACUCGGAGGUUUGCCAUUGCUUGCCGAGGGUGAACGCUAUUAGAAAAACUUUUUUUUUUAUCACUUUGCUGUUUCAUACACGGACAUUUGAACCUACACACUUCCAACCCAAUCGGGCACAGGGGUCGCCGAAAUGAAAUAUUUGCCUUGAAACGUCGAGUUUCCCGCACUUUGCUCUGAACCACCGA